RNAcentral lists this ribosomal RNA (1484 nucleotides) under uncultured prokaryote. Its description in RNAcentral is "partial 16S ribosomal RNA". It matches the Rfam family "Bacterial small subunit ribosomal RNA". The record is from RNAcentral.
AGAGUUUGAUCCUGGCUCAGGAUGAACGCUAGCGGCAGGCUUAACACAUGCAAGUCGAGGGGUAACAGGGAGGAGCUUGCUUUUCCGCUGACGACCGGCGCACGGGUGAGUAACGCGUAUGCAACCUACCUUAUACUGGGGGAUAGCCCAAAGAAAUUUGGAUUAAUACCGCAUAACAUAUUUGAAUCGCAUGAUAAAAUUUAAAACUCCGGUGGUAUAAGAUGGGCAUGCGUAGCAUUAGUUAGUUGGUGAGGUAACGGCUCACCAAGACGAUGAUGCUUAGGGGGUCUGAGAGGAUAGUCCCCCACACUGGUACUGAGACACGGACCAGACUCCUACGGGAGGCAGCAGUGAGGAAUAUUGGUCAAUGGACGCAAGUCUGAACCAGCCAUGUCGCGUGCAGGAUGACGGCCCUAUGGGUUGUAAACUGCUUUUUUUACAGGAAUAAUUGUCGCUACGUGUAGAGAUUUGAAUGUACUGUAUGAAUAAGGAUCGGCUAACUCCGUGCCAGCAGCCGCGGUAAUACGGAGGAUUCGAGCGUUAUCCGGAUUUAUUGGGUUUAAAGGGUCCGUAGGCGGUCUUUUAAGUCAGUGGUGAAAUCCCAGAGCUCAACUCUGGAACUGCCAUUGAAACUGAAGAACUUGAAUAUGGUUGAGGUAGGCGGAAUACGUUAUGUAGCGGUGAAAUGCAUAGAUAUAACGUAGAACACCAAUUGCGAAGGCAGCUUACUAAACCAUUAUUGACGCUGAUGGACGAAAGCGUGGGGAGCGAACAGGAUUAGAUACCCUGGUAGUCCACGCCGUAAACGAUGAUUACUUUGUGCACAAUACAUCGUGCGUGACUGAGCGAAAGCAUUAAGUAAUCCACCUGGGGAGUACGUUCGCAAGAAUGAAACUCAAAGGAAUUGACGGGGGCCCGCACAAGCGGAGGAACAUGUGGUUUAAUUCGAUGAUACGCGAGGAACCUUACCUGGACUUAAAUGUAGAUUGACCGGUUUAGAAAUAGAUCUUUCUCGGGACAAUUUACAAGGUGCUGCAUGGUUGUCGUCCGCUCGUGCCGUCAGGUGUCGGGUUAAGUCCCAUAACGAGCGCAACCCCUAUCGUUAGUUGCUAGCAGGUCAUGCUGGGACUCUAGAGAAACUGCCAGCGUAAGCUGUGAGGAAGGUGGGGACGACGUCAAAUCAUCACGGCCCUUACGUCCUGGGCCACACACGUGCUACAAUGGUGGGGACAACGAGUUGCCAACCCGCGAGGGUGAGCUAAUCUCUCAAACCCCAUCUCAGUUCGGAUCGGAGUCUGCAACUCGACUCCGUGAAGUUGGAAUCGCUAGUAAUCGCGCAUCAGCCAUGGCGCGGUGAAUACGUUCCCGGGCCUUGUACACACCGCCCGUCAAGCCAUGGAAGCUGGGGGUGCCUGAAGUCGGUCACCGAAAGGAGCCGCCUAGGGCAAAACUGGUAACUAGGGCUAAGUCGUAACAAGGUAACC